This 207-nucleotide long non-coding RNA is filed under the name Vitis vinifera (wine grape). RNAcentral describes it as "long non-coding RNA (VVIN_LNC008170)". The record is from RNAcentral. Lineage: Eukaryota; Viridiplantae; Streptophyta; Magnoliopsida; Vitales; Vitaceae.
GCUGAUUUUCGGUUGAACUCUUCAAGAUGCUAUAGAAUUGAAGUUAUCAAUGACCAACCACCCUCAAAUAGAUGGGUAAAUAGAGAGGGUUAACGUAAUACUAGAAGAAUAUUUGAGGCAUUAUGUUACUGCAAGCAAAAUUGGUUAGAGCUACUAAAGACAACUCAAUUGUGCUACAAUUUACACAAGCGUACUUCAACAAGACUA